Molecule: ribosomal RNA, 371 nt
Filed under: uncultured organism
Description: partial 16S ribosomal RNA
Rfam family: Bacterial small subunit ribosomal RNA
Source: RNAcentral
GUAGGUGGCAAGCGUUGUCCGGAAUUAUUGGGCGUAAAGCGCGCGCAGGCGGUUCUUUAAGUCUGAUGUGAAAGCCCACGGCUCAACCGUGGAGGGUCAUUGGAAACUGGAGAACUUGAGUACAGAAGAGGAAAGCGGAAUUCCACGUGUAGCGGUGAAAUGCGUAGAGAUGUGGAGAAACACCAGUGGCGAAGGCGGCUUUCUGGUCUGUAACUGACGCUGAGGCGCGAAAGCGUGGGGGAGCAAACAGGAUUAGAUACCCUGGUAGUCCACGCCGUAAACGAUGAGUGCUAAGUGUUAGGGGGUUUCCGCCCCUUAGUGCUGCAGCUAACGCAUUAAGCACUCCGCCUGGGAGUACGGCCGCAAGGCUG